Molecule: ribosomal RNA, 253 nt
Filed under: uncultured bacterium
Lineage: Bacteria
Description: partial 16S ribosomal RNA
Rfam family: Bacterial small subunit ribosomal RNA
Source: RNAcentral
UACGUAGGGGGCUAGCGUUGUCCGGAAUUAUUGGGCGUAAAGGGCUCGUAGGCGGUUUGUCGCGUCGGGAGUGAAAACACUGGGCUUAACUCAGUGCUUGCUUCCGAUACGGGCAGACUAGAGGUAUGCAGGGGAGAACGGAAUUCCUGGUGUAGCGGUGAAAUGCGCAGAUAUCAGGAGGAACACCGGUGGCGAAGGCGGUUCUCUGGGCAUUACCUGACGCUGAGGAGCGAAAGUGUGGGGAGCGAACAGG